This 109-nucleotide transfer RNA is filed under the name Pseudozyma flocculosa. It matches the Rfam family "tRNA". From Rfam's summary of the family: Transfer RNA (tRNA) molecules are approximately 80 nucleotides in length. RNAcentral also lists the same sequence under 1 other name. The record is from Rfam by way of RNAcentral. Lineage: Eukaryota; Fungi; Basidiomycota; Ustilaginomycetes; Ustilaginales; Ustilaginaceae.
GGCCGGUUGGCCCAAUUGGUAAGGCGUCUGACUACGAUCAUAGCACACACGCCUUGUGCUCCUUGCGUUCGCAAUCAGGAGAUUCUGGGUUCGAGCCCCAGGCUGGUCA